CGGGGAACCAGGGUGGUCGCUCAGGGGCUUAAAUCCUGGGAGGAAAGUCCGGGCUCCGACGAGUCAGGGUGCCGGGUAACACCCGGUGAAGGUAACUUCAAGGAGAGUGCCACAGAAAACACACCGCCCGAAAGGGUAAGGGUGAAAAGGUGAGGUAAGAGCUUCACCGCUUGAACCGUAAGGUUCAAGGCAUGGUAAACCCCACCCCGGAGCAAGACCAAAUAUGGAAGUAGGGAUGACUCUUCCCUGUGACUUCCGGGUAGGUCGCUCGAGCAAUGGGGCAACCCGUUGCCAAGAUGGAUGACCACCACUGAAGCCUCGCUUCAGUACAGAACCCGGCUUAUAUGGUUCCCCGGUUA
This 359-nucleotide RNase P RNA is filed under the name bacterium. Its description in RNAcentral is "RNase P RNA component class A". It matches the Rfam family "Bacterial RNase P class A". Rfam says of the family: Ribonuclease P (RNase P) is a ubiquitous endoribonuclease, found in archaea, bacteria and eukarya as well as chloroplasts and mitochondria. The record is from RNAcentral.